Molecule: ribosomal RNA, 662 nt
Filed under: uncultured bacterium
Lineage: Bacteria
Description: bacterial SSU rRNA
Rfam family: Bacterial small subunit ribosomal RNA
Source: RNAcentral
ACGCUGGCGGCGUGCUUAACACAUGCAAGUCGAACGAUGAACCCCAGCUUGCUGGGGGGAUUAGUGGCGAACGGGUGAGUAACACGUGAGUAACCUGCCCUUAACUCUGGGAUAAGCCUGGGAAACUGGGUCUAAUACUGGAUAUUGACUUUACCUCGCAUGGGGUUUGGUUGAAAGAUUUAUUGGUUUUGGAUGGACUCGCGGCCUAUCAGCUUGUUGGUGAGGUAAUGGCUCACCAAGGCGACGACGGUAGCCGGCCUGAGAGGGUGACCGGCCACACUGGGACUGAGACACGGCCCAGACUCCUACGGGAGGCAGCAGUGGGGAAUAUUGCACAAUGGGCGAAAGCCUGAUGCAGCGACGCCGCGUGGGGGAUGACGGCCUUCGGGUUGUAAACCUCUUUCAGUAGGGGACAAGGCCAAUGUUUAGUUGGUUGAGGGUACUUGCAGAAGAAGCACCGGCUAACUACGUGCCAGCAGCCGCGGUAAUACAGAGGGUGCAAGCGUUAAUCGGAAUUACUGGGCGUAAAGCGCGCGUAGGUGGUUUGUUAAGUUGGAUGUGAAAUCCCCGGGCUCAACCUGGGAACUGCAUUCAAAACUGACUGACUAGAGUAUGGUAGAGGGUGGUGGAAUUUCCUGUGUAGCGGUGAAAUGCGUAGAUAU